UACCAGCUGGCUGCAACUGUUUAUUAAAAACACAGCACUGUGCAAACACGAAAGUGGACGUAUACGGUGUGACGCCUGCCCGGUGCCGGAAGGUUAAUUGAUGGGGUCAGCGCAAGCGAAGCUCCUGAUCGAAGCCCCGGUAAACGGCGGCCGUAACUAUAACGGUCCUAAGGUAGCGAAAUUCCUUGUCGGGUAAGUUCCGACCUGCACGAAUGGCGUAAUGAUGGCCAGGCUGUCUCCACCCGAGACUCAGUGAAAUUGAACUCGCUGUGAAGAUGCAGUGUACCCGCGGCAAGACGGAAAGACCCCGUGAACCUUUACUAUAGCUUGACACUGAACAUUGAGCCUUGAUGUGUAGGAUAGGUGGGAGGCUUUGAAGCGUGGACGCCAGUCUGCGUGGAGCCGACCUUGAAAUACCACCCUUUAAUGUUUGAUGUUCUAACGUGGACCCGUGAUCCGGGUUGCGGACAGUGUCUGGUGGGUAGUUUGACUGGGGCGGUCUCCUCCUAAAGAGUAACGGAGGAGCACGAAGGUUGGCUAAUCCUGGUCGGACAUCAGGAGGUUAGUGCAAUGGCAUAAGCCAGCUUGACUGCGAGCGUGACGGCGCGAGCAGGUGCGAAAGCAGGUCAUAGUGAUCCGGUGGUUCUGAAUGGAAGGGCCAUCGCUCAACGGAUAAAAGGUACUCCGGGGAUAACAGGCUGAUACCGCCCAAGAGUUCAUAUCGACGGCGGUGUUUGGCACCUCGAUGUCGGCUCAUCACAUCCUGGGGCUGAAGUAGGUCCCAAGGGUAUGGCUGUUCGCCAUUUAAAGUGGUACGCGAGCUGGGUUUAGAACGUCGUGAGACAGUUCGGUCCCUAUCUGCCGUGGGCGCUGGAGAACUGAGGGGGGCUGCUCCUAGUACGAGAGGACCGGAGUGGACGCAUCACUGGUGUUCGGGUUGUCAUGCCAAUGGCACUGCCCGGUAGCUAAAUGCGGAAGAGAUAAGUGCUGAAAGCAUCUAAGCACGAAACUUGCCCCGAGAUGAGUUCUCCCUGAGACUUUAGGUCUCCUGAAGGAACGUUGAAGACGACGACGUUGAUAGGCCGGGUGUGUAAGCGCAGCGAUGCGUUGAGCUAACCGGUACUAAUGAACCGUGAGGCUUAACCUUACAA
RNAcentral lists this ribosomal RNA (1151 nucleotides) under Salmonella enterica subsp. enterica serovar Paratyphi C. RNAcentral describes it as "partial 23S ribosomal RNA". It matches the Rfam family "Bacterial large subunit ribosomal RNA", at positions 1783 to 2925 of the family's 2925-position model. The record is from RNAcentral. Lineage: Bacteria; Pseudomonadati; Pseudomonadota; Gammaproteobacteria; Enterobacterales; Enterobacteriaceae.